RNAcentral lists this ribosomal RNA (116 nucleotides) under Acidimicrobiia bacterium. Lineage: Bacteria; Bacillati; Actinomycetota; Acidimicrobiia. The record is from RNAcentral.
UUCGGUGGCCAUAGCGGUGGGGAUCACCCGUUCCCAUUCCGAACACGGAAGUUAAGCCCACCUGCGCCGAUGGUACUUGGACCGCAGGGUCCCGGGAGAGUAGGUCGCCGCCGAUU